AACGCGAAGAACCUUACCAAGGCUUGACAUGCAUCUCUAAGCGCGUGAAAGCGCGUGACCCUUCGGGGAAUUUGCACAGGUGCUGCAUGGCCGUCGUCAGCUCGUGUCGUGAGAUGUUGGGUUAAGUCCCGCAACGAGCGCAACCCCUGUGACUAGUUGCCAGCGAGUAAUGUCGGGGACUCUAGUCAGACUGCCCAGAUCAACUGGGAGGAAGGUGGGGACGACGUCAGGUCAGUAUGGCCCUUACGCCUUGGGCUGCACACGUACUACAAUGCCCAGCACAAUGAGAACCGAGACCGCGAGGUGGAGGAAAUCUGCAAAACUGGGCCCAGUUCGGAUUGGAGGCUGCAACUCGCCUCCAUGAAGCCGGAAUCGCUAGUAAUGCUGCAUCAGC
RNAcentral lists this ribosomal RNA (394 nucleotides) under uncultured bacterium. RNAcentral describes it as "bacterial SSU rRNA". It matches the Rfam family "Bacterial small subunit ribosomal RNA", at positions 958 to 1353 of the family's 1533-position model. The record is from RNAcentral.